GAAUGCCAUUCAUGAGACUCGACGGGCUCUUUGUAAUUUUUUUGUGAUGCUGCCAACAUGAUCCAUAUUCCUCUAGUGUUCCUUCCCCAUCCUUGGGUUGAUGCACAUGCAUACACAGUAUGCCUGUAUUUUGCUCCCUUCCUCCAUUUUAAUAUUUCUCCUCUUGUGGUUUGGAGAACAGAAGCUGUGCCUGCCAACACCCAGGACACUGUGAGGACCUGGAGUUUCUCAUGUUGGGGAUGCCCGGGUCCCAGGCCAGUGGACAGUCAGGAGAACGCAGUGUGUGAAGUGGAUUUUAUCUGCACGAACACAAAGCCAGAGCCCUGGCCAUCAGUGCAGAUUCGCCUCCUCCCUCCUAUUCAUCCCUCCAUCCCGCGCCCUUGCCAAGGGCUCCUUUCUCUGACCCCCGGCUUUCUCUGUUCCCCAGCAUUCGGGGAACUUCAUCCAGCGUGCAUAACCCGGGCCCUUCAGUAAUCAUGCAAACCCAAUUCAAUGACACGAUGCCCUGGCACCUCCGACCCAGCGCCCUGCGGUUUCCGGCUACGCCUCCAGCUGCGUCACUGCCCACGGAUCGACCUGGGUCUGGGUCUCUACUGCGCCUUCUUCCUGAGGAGUCACGCUGAACGGCGAUCAUGCCUGCCCAGCUCAAGCUCCUUUCCUCGCUGUUCAUCCGCAUGAAAUCUCCCAGUCAUCUGCAAAAGGAAUGCUGAGAGGCUUUAUUGGCCUAAAGCACUGGAGAGGGAAGAAGACGACAACCGGUUUCAAAAAGAUAGAAGAGACUUUCCUAAGAUGAAAAACUUCUGAGAACCUUCACAGAUGGUUGCUGUGCCAGGGAGCUCCCAGCAUCUGGCCACAGCGAUUCAGUGCACUAGGGCGGCCGAAGCUGUGGAUGUCAUGCUUUACAAUAAAGUGACCCAAAUGUGAUUA
Molecule: long non-coding RNA, 927 nt
Organism: Bubalus bubalis (water buffalo)
Lineage: Eukaryota; Metazoa; Chordata; Mammalia; Artiodactyla; Bovidae
Exons: 2
Source: RefSeq, a predicted model, not a curated record